UACGAAGGGGGCUAGCGUUGCUCGGAAUUACUGGGCGUAAAGGGCUCGUAGGCGGCCAUCUAAGUCAGACGUGAAAUCCCUCGGCUUAACCGGGGAACUGCGUCUGAUACUGGAUGGCUUGAGUUUGGGAGAGGGAUGCGGAAUUCCAGGUGUAGCGGUGAAAUGCGUAGAUAUCUGGAGGGACACCGGUGGGGGAGGCGGCAUCCUGGGCCGACACUGGCGCUGAGUGAGCGAAAGCCAGGGGAGCAAACGGG
RNAcentral lists this ribosomal RNA (254 nucleotides) under uncultured bacterium. RNAcentral describes it as "partial 16S ribosomal RNA". It matches the Rfam family "Bacterial small subunit ribosomal RNA", at positions 524 to 776 of the family's 1533-position model. The record is from RNAcentral.